Molecule: small nucleolar RNA, 79 nt
Filed under: Cynoglossus semilaevis (tongue sole)
Lineage: Eukaryota; Metazoa; Chordata; Actinopteri; Pleuronectiformes; Cynoglossidae
Description: Small nucleolar RNA SNORD126 (ENSCSEG00000021338.1)
Source: RNAcentral
AAACCUUGAUGAUGAAUUGCAUGUGAGUCCGUGUUUCAGCUGAACCUCAUGAUUAUUCUUUCACUGCACUGAUGGGUUU